This is a non-coding RNA of Ciona savignyi (Pacific transparent sea squirt), 84 nucleotides long. The record is from Rfam. NCBI's taxonomy places the organism in Eukaryota, Metazoa, Chordata, Ascidiacea, Phlebobranchia, Cionidae.
ACUGGGUUGGCCGAGUGGUUAAGGCGUUGGACUUAAGUUCCAAUGGACAAGUGUCCCGCGUGGGUUCGAACCCCACACCCAGUA